CACCACCGAUCGCUACUAUCGAGUGAAUGAUUUGGUAAAGUCAUUGGAUUGAUGUGGUUCUACUGGCUUUUCCUCUCAAUUAAUACUGAGUAAGAUGACCUAAUUUGACAAAUUAGAGAAAGUAAAAGUCAUAACAAAGUUUCUGUAAAUUAACUCGCGGAAG
RNAcentral lists this non-coding RNA (163 nucleotides) under Schistosoma mattheei. Lineage: Eukaryota; Metazoa; Platyhelminthes; Trematoda; Strigeidida; Schistosomatidae. The record is from Rfam by way of RNAcentral.